This 1317-nucleotide long non-coding RNA is filed under the name Heterocephalus glaber (naked mole-rat). Its description in RNAcentral is "lncRNA (ENSHGLG00000045570.1)". The record is from RNAcentral. Lineage: Eukaryota; Metazoa; Chordata; Mammalia; Rodentia; Bathyergidae.
UUCAGUCAUAGAAUUCUAGGAAGGAAAUUCUGCUGCAACAUGGACAAAAUGAAGUGAAUGAAAGGAAGGAAAAAUGCUACAACAUGGCUGGACCUUGAUGACAUUAUGCUAAAUGAAAGAAUCCCCUCAUAAAAAGACAACUAUUGUGAUUCCAUACAUAUUAGACACCUACAGGCAUCAGCUUCAUCGAGACAGGAGGCAGAAUGGUGGUUACCAGGCCCCCAAGGUGGCAGUGAAGGGCAGUUAUUGUUUGAUGUGUUUUGCUUCAGUCUGGGAAGACAAGAACAUUCUGGAGAUGGGUGGUGAUGGUGGAACAGCAAUGUUGAGUGUACUUAAUGCCACUGACUGACCUUACACUAAAAGAUGGUCACUAUGGUAAAUUUACGUAAACUGUAUUUUUCCACAGUAAGAGAAAAUAGAUCUUUCACCCAGAGAGCAAGCCCUUUAUGUAAAUGAAUCAGGACAUCAGGCCUCUAAGGAGAUUUCUUUCUUUGAGACAGGGUCUCACUACAUAGUUCAGGCUGGUCUUAAACUCAUUAUGUAGCCCAGGCUGAGACAGGAGGACUGCCGUGCUACACUGUACCAGCCUGGGCUACGUUGUGAGGCCCUAUCGCAAAAAAGAAAAAAAAAUAGAAAGGAGGAAGUUAAAAAAAUAUUAAAAGCAAAGGACUUCCUUUAAAUUCCUCUAAAAGAAUCUUCCGGUGGCUCCACAUUGCUCUCUUUGGAGCUCCACAGGGGACCCAUGAGACCCCAGCCCACCUCUCCCAGCCACCUCUUGAUCUCUUGUCCUUUCCCUCCUUGUACAAUAUGUCCAGCCACACUGAAAUCCAUAUGUACCCUCUGCACCCAGCAGGAUUGAGGAUUGAAUCCAGAGAGUGCUGAGCUAUAUUUCCAGCCCCAUAAAAAUUUAUUUUGAGACAUGUUCUUGCAAAGCUGCAAUCCUCCUGCCUCAGCCUCUUGAGUGGCUGGGAUUACAGGCAUGAGCCUGGGGAAUUCUGUUCUGUCUGCCUUUCCAGUUGCUCCCCCCUUGACCUGGAACCUUGUGCCCUUCGUGUAUUGCUGGUAGACAGUGUCUCUGAUGGGAAGACUUCUCGAACCCUGCCCUGCCCAGGUGUCCUGUGUCUUCAGCUCCACAGGUAGUCACCUCUGAGGCAGUCUUUCAGCUGUAUUCCUUUGUUUCUGGCACCCACUGGACUAUGGACUUCUUGAGGGAUGGAAAGAUGUUUUUGUCCUACUACGGAGUCCAGACCAUUUGAGCUGCUCAAACAAUAUUGAAAGAACGACCCCAGGUGUGGUGGCACAUGCCUGUAAUCCCAG